This is a long non-coding RNA of Brassica oleracea var. oleracea, 1754 nucleotides long. RefSeq lists it as uncharacterized. The record is from RefSeq and is a predicted model, not a curated record. The transcript has 3 exons. NCBI's taxonomy places the organism in Eukaryota, Viridiplantae, Streptophyta, Magnoliopsida, Brassicales, Brassicaceae.
CAGACAACUUUAUUGUUUAAAAGUUGUAUCUCUUCAGAAGUUUAUAUAUUGAAGCGGUUUUGCGAAGUUUACAUAUUAUGAAUCCAACGUAACGGGGAACGAUAGGUUAGGGAAGCAUCGGUGGUUUAUCGACGCAGGAUCUCUUCUUGUGGUUUCCGGUUAAAGGGAUCAGUGUGGACAUACCUUGCUCUGGCGAUAUAUAUUUCGAUGUCAGAGUUGUUUACAAGCGGUAUUUCAUGUCUUUGUUUGAGACUCUGAGAAAUUGUGUCGCUGUUGGAAGGAGGUUGAGUUUCGUGGGGAUAACAAGGUUCUGUAAUACAUUCGUGUAACUUUUCAUUUCAAAGCUCCGAUGUGAUGACGUGGCUCGGCUCAGCGAUGAGCAACCACGACACUUCUACGGACGGGUUCGAAGGUGUCGGCAACGGAGAAUGAAAGGACCGAGUGGUCGGAGCGGUGAGCAACUGUUUAGCGUUAUUCUCCGGCAGCGUCAAAGAUUUGAACGGAGUUACGGUCGUGAACAGGAAGUUACUUGGCGUAGAAGAAACAGAGGAGUUUCAGAGUUGGUUAAAGAGAGUAGACAGAGAGCUUCUCGGUACUCCGGCGACGGCGAUUCAAGCGGAUAUCACGGUGUCGAAAGACGGUAAUGGCACGGUUAAGACAAUCGAAGAGGCGAUCAAGAAAGCGCCGGAGCAAAGUAGCCGACGAUUCGUCAUCGACGUCAAGGCAGGAAGGUACGAAGAAGAAAAUCUCAAGAUUCAAUCAUCUACGUUGCAAUUCUAUUAAGUAGAUCAAAGUGUUGGGAGAAACAUUGUGUAUCCAAAAGGGUUGACUAAUGGGUUUACAGUACAAGUUAGAAACUUUUAGCUGCUCAUGGUUUUCUGAUGACACUGACAGACAGACACACACUCCUUCCAUUUGAGGUCAGAUGCUCCUUUUUUUCCCCAAAUUGCUUUGAUCACUCUGUUUGAAGUGAAAAUGAUGAGAGAGUCUUCUGCGCAAGUUUAGAUGGGAAGAACAAGUAUUGGAUGGUUUUGUUUGAAAUUUCCAGAUUCAUCAUAUCACAACGUGGAUAUCGUGUGGUGUAAUUGAUCAUUCAAGAUUAAUGGUACCUUUGAAACGUUGUAACUAAGCGUAUAUUAUUGGGACAUCCAUAAAGAGGAAACCUCUGAUGUUAGCUAUAUGACGAUAAAUGUUUUGGAAUAGAAUAAAUAUUCAAGAAGAAGCAAAUGAGAAACAAGAGGAGAAGAAGGAUAGAGCACGUGUAGUAUAAUUAUGGAGUCGGAGUCGGAGCCAGCGAAAGAGGUUAUCACCGUGAUAGAUAAGCAUUGGGGUGAGAGAUAUAAGGUUGUUGUGGUCAUGGCAUGAUGGUGUGGUUGUCAGAACGAGAUCAGAGCUAAGGCGAGAAGAAAACAAAGGUGGAGAAGAGGAAGAAGAGCACAGUUCUGAGAUUGGUUGUUGAGAGGAGGAUUUCGUUGAUAUUUGAGUUAAAGAGAAUAUACACGUAUUGAUUUUUAAAAUAGGAUAUGCCACGUAAACCAUAGAAACUGACGUGACUGCCAUCAGAGUUAAGACCUUGUGGUGAAGAACUUUCCUUCCUACGCAAGCAUCAGAUGCAGCAGCUCAACUCUGGGAGGUUCAACUGGUCUGUUGCAGCAAUUUCAAGAGAACGUGGAAGGUUCAUUUGUACGCCGAUAUGACUGAAAUUUUGAAUAGAUGUACAGGACACUGCAGAUUCAUGAUUCAACGGUGGGAUU